This 253-nucleotide ribosomal RNA is filed under the name uncultured bacterium. Its description in RNAcentral is "partial 16S ribosomal RNA". It matches the Rfam family "Bacterial small subunit ribosomal RNA", at positions 524 to 776 of the family's 1533-position model. The record is from RNAcentral.
UACAGAGGUAGCAAGCGUUGUUCGGAAUUACUGGGCGUAAAGGGCGCGUAGGCGGCCUUCUAAGUCAGACGUGAAAUCCCCCGGCUUAACCUGGGAACUGCGUCUGAUACUGGGAGGCUUGAGUAUGGGAGAGGGAUGUAGAAUUCCAGGUGUAGCGGUGAAAUGCGUAGAUAUCUGGAGGAAUACCGGUGGCGAAGGCGGCAUCCUGGGCCAUAACUGACGCUGAGGCGCGAAAGCUGGGGGAGCAAACGGG